CAUAGGCUCUUUUUGCCUGCCGCCAUCCACGUAAGGUAUGAUUUGCCCCUCCUUGCCUUCUGCCAUGAUUGUGAGGCCUCCCCAGCCACGUGAAACUCAGAAGGAGAGUGCAUGAGAUUAUAUAAAGACUCAGAGAAGAGAUACAGCUCCUCCCGCACCAGAGAAAUGCAGCUCCGUGAGCCCCGAUGGAGCCAGCAUGCUGCUGGGUGCUGAGGAGCAGGCAGAGGCACCCAGGAUGGCGGUCCCCAAGGAGAACGGAGGCACAGAACAACGCAUGAGGGGCCACAUGACUUAGGGCCGGGAUCGGUCACUCAGCCAGCAAAAACACUGGAAGAAAACAAAACAACUUCAGACUCUAUGCUGCAUUUCCGUAAUAUAUCUGCCCAAAGACUGGACAACAAAGGUAAAGGAGGCUGAUGAGGAAACGAAAGGAUCCGUGGUUCUUGGCUCGCUGGGUGGCUCAUCAACAAAGCCCCAGCAUCACUCCUGCAGAUGCCCUAGCCUGGCCUGGGCUGGGAUGGGCAAAAUUCACCAUGGGACUCUUGUUCAAGAGAGGGAGAUCAAAGCCAGAAACACUUACCCAGAAUGGCCAUGCAGACUAAAAUUCCAAUUCUAAAAAUACUUUUAAAAUGUAACGUACAACAAAGGAAAGCUGGAAAAAUAUUUAAAAAAGGAUGAAAGGGCAAGAAAAAUUCAACCCACGACCUCAAGGCGAUUAUAAUCUGUGUUCUGCUGCUUCCCAGAGCCGCUUCAGUCUUCAGCUCAGAGUCUACCAGACACUAAAAUGCAACUGAACACUCAGUUCAUACUUGUUCUUCUAAUUAGCUGCCUCUUCCAUUUGAUUAAUAUUGCCUCCUAAUUUAAUUGUAAAUUGUAUUUCUGGUUUAUAUUUCGCUUCUCCCUCCUGUUGUACCUGGUGACCAUCUUCAUUAAUCAUAUUGUAGCUUUUUAAUGAAUCUCAUAUGCCAAUUUAUGGUGAACAAGACUUGAUAUGAAGGCAUCUUCAUCAAAUCAUUCAUAAUCUUGUAACUAUUGGUUUAUUUUCUGUAACGACCUAUAAAUGUACACCAAAAAAAUGAAAGAUUCCCCCUAAAAUGUAAUGGGACAGAACUUUGUUUACGUAGAUUUCUGAGGAUGGGUUGAGACGCCAAAUUCCGCUUGUGUUUGGAAUUUCUAUUUCACUGGGCUUAGUGAGGGUGCCCAUGUUUUGCAAUCCUGUGCUCUAGAAUCUAUCAUAAACAGAUUCUUCUAAUUGUUUGACAUUAAACUGCAAAUUUGUGUUUUUGUGUCUGCUCAAAUAUAAAAUGUCUUUGGGAAAAAUACAGAGAAUGGUUCG
Molecule: long non-coding RNA, 1336 nt
Organism: Homo sapiens (human)
Lineage: Eukaryota; Metazoa; Chordata; Mammalia; Primates; Hominidae
Product: long intergenic non-protein coding RNA 1029
Source: Ensembl